This 240-nucleotide unclassified non-coding RNA is filed under the name soil metagenome. RNAcentral describes it as "partial contains 5.8S ribosomal RNA, internal transcribed spacer 2, and large subunit ribosomal RNA". The record is from RNAcentral.
AAGACUAUAGACCUGCGGAGUACCUGCGGAGGGAUCAUUAUUGAAGUCUCUGAGAGGUUUCGUUGCUGACUCUCCGGAGUAUGUGCACGCCUCUCACACUUUAUUCAACCACCUGUGCACCUCUCGUAGCUUCUCAGAUGCUUUCAGUCUUCGGACUGGUGGGGACUGCUGCAGUGACUCUGCUCACAGCUUCAGUCCGAUAUCUGAGGGGUUGCGCACUACACAAACUCUGUUAAAGUU